UAAAGGAGAAAGACCAUUUGUGGCUCACGUAGCAGUAUUAAUAGAUGGAUAAGCUUCCUAAAAGAUGCUGUGUUUUAUCUACUUAGGUCAUUUUCACUAAACCAGUUUAUCAAAUAUGUUUUAUGUUUUUAAGUUUUGACAUUUGGGCAAAGCUCUUUUAUGAGAAGUCAGAUGAGUAGUGUUAUUUGCUUUUAAAAAGAACAGCACAACAAAUCAGAUACUUGUGGGUUCUGGUUUUAAUAAAUUUGAACACAAGGCACAGGUUUCCAGGUGUAUGUAAAUACAUGUCCAUUUAAAAAUUUCUUCUUGCUUGUCCCAUCUCUAGUUCUCCUGGACAGGAAAGAAGGAAUGUUUAAACUUCUUGUUCAAGAAAGACUUCUUGGUGGCGGUCCUCUCCCAACUCAAGCUGUGGCUGCCUCCAGACGCUCUCAAGAUGGCGAUCUCUCUGUGUUCCAACACCUACAACAGGCAGAAUUGGGAGGAUGCGGACUUCCCUAUUCUGUGCCAGACGUGUCUUGGAGAAAACCCAUAUAUCCGAAUGACCAAAGAAAAGUAUGGGAAGGAAUGCAAAAUCUGUGCCAGGCCAUUCACAGUGUUUCGCUGGUGCCCUGGGGUCCGCAUGCGUUUCAAGAAGACUGAAGUGUGCCAGACCUGCAGUAAAUUGAAGAAUGUCUGUCAGACCUGCCUCUUAGACCUAGAGUAUGGCCUGCCCAUCCAGGUUCGUGAUGCAGGAUUGUCUUUUAAGGAUGACAUGCCAAAGUCUGACGUCAACAAAGAGUACUACACACAGAAUAUGGAGAGAGAGAUUUCCAACUCUGAUGGAACGCGGCCAGUUGGCAUGUUGGGGAAAGCCACAUCCACCAGUGACAUGCUGCUCAAACUGGCCCGGACCACACCCUACUACAAAAGGAAUCGACCGCACAUUUGCUCCUUCUGGGUGAAAGGAGAAUGUAAGAGAGGAGAGGAGUGUCCAUACAGACAUGAAAAACCAACAGAUCCAGAUGACCCCCUUGCUGAUCAGAAUAUUAAAGACCGAUAUUAUGGAAUCAAUGACCCUGUGGCAGAUAAACUCUUGAAGCGGGCUUCAACAAUGCCACGUCUGGACCCACCAGAGGACAAGACUAUCACCACACUGUAUGUUGGUGGUCUGGGCGAUACCAUUACUGAGACCGAUCUAAGGAAUCACUUCUACCAGUUUGGAGAGAUCCGGACCAUCACUGUUGUGCAAAGACAGCAGUGUGCUUUCAUCCAGUUUGCCACAAGGCAGGCUGCAGAAGUGGCUGCCGAGAAGUCCUUUAAUAAGUUGAUUGUCAAUGGCUGCAGGCUCAACGUGAAAUGGGGGAGGUCCCAGGCAGCCAGAGGGAAAGAAAAGGAGAAGGAUGGAACCACAGACUCUGCAAUCAAGCUUGAGCCCGUUCCAGGGCUCCCAGGAGCUCUUCCUCCUCCUCCUGCAGCAGAAGAAGCAGCCUCUGCCAACUACUUCAACCUACCGCCCGGUGGUCCUCCAGCUGUGGUGAACAUUGCCCUGCCACCCCCACCUGGUAUUGCCCCGCCCACACCCCCAGGUUUGGGGCCACACAUGUUCCACCCCAUGGGACCACCCUCUCCUUUCAUGAGAGCUCCAGGACCAAUCCACUAUCCUUCUCAGGACCCUCAGAGGAUGGGAGCACAUGCCGGGAAACACAGCAGCCCCUAGCACUCAUCACCACUCUGGGGCUCUACGGAAGAGAGGGCGCUUAAAAACCCUAGUAAAUGAAUCCCGGAAUAAAUAUAUUUUUCCUUCCUUUGUAGUUUCCAUGGUAGUGGAAUGUAUUCAGAUGUGGGCAGUUGGAGGACAGCCA
Molecule: non-coding RNA, 1841 nt
Organism: Odocoileus virginianus texanus
Lineage: Eukaryota; Metazoa; Chordata; Mammalia; Artiodactyla; Cervidae
Source: RefSeq, a predicted model, not a curated record